UAGAGUUUGAUCCUGGCUCAGGAUGAACGUUGGCGGCAUGCCUAACACAUGCAAGUCGAACGGAGAAGCCCUACGGGGUGGAUCAGUGGCGAACGGGUGCGUAACACGUAGGUGACCUGGCUGACUGAGGGGGAUAACCCGUGGAAACAUGGGCUAAUACCGCAUACGCUCUUUGAGACUAGACUCUUGAAGAGGAAAGUUCCGGCGCUGUCAGGGGGGCCUGCGGCCUAUCAGGUAGUUGGUGGGGUAAAAGCCUACCAAGCCGAUGACGGGUAGCUGACCUGAGAGGGUGGUCAGCCACAGGGGAACUGAGACACGGUCCCCACUCCUACGGGAGGCAGCAGUGAGGAAUAUUGGGCAAUGGGCGCAAGCCUGACCCAGCAAUGCCGCGUGCAGGAGGACGCCCUUCGGGGUGUAAACUGCUUUAGUGUGGGAGGAGGAAGGACCGUACCACACGAACAAGUCACGGCUAACUACGUGCCAGCAGCCGCGGUAAUACGUAGGUGGCGAACGUUAUCCGGAAUUACUGGGCGUAAAGGGUCCGCAGGCGGGCGCGCAAGUCUGACGUGAAAGCUCCUGGCUUAACUGGGAGAAGCCGUUGGAAACUGCGCGUCUUGAAUCACGCAGAGGUCGGUUGGAAUUCCCGGUGGAGUGGUGGAAUGCGUAGAGAUCGGGAGGAAACCUCGAAAGGCGAAGGGCAGCCGGCUGGGUGAUGAUUGACGCUGAGGGGACGAAAGCGUUGGGAGGCGAAACAGAAUUAGAUUACCUGUUAGUCCAACGCUUGUAAACGAUGUGUGCUCGGUGUCUGCUGUGAAAAAGCUGGGCGCCCAAGGCAACCCGCUUAAGCACACCGCCUGGGGAGUACGGCCGCAAAGGCUAAAACUCAAAGGAAUUGACGGGGGCCCGCACAAGCAGCGGAGCGUGUGGUUUAAUUCGAUGCAACGCGAAGAACCUUACCUGGGCUUGACAUGGUGGUAGUAGGGAGGGGAAACCUGACCGACCUUCGGGAGCCAUCACAGGUGCUGCAUGGCUGUCGUCAGCUCGUGUCGUGAGAUGUUGGGUUAAGUCCCGCAACGAGCGCAACCCCUAUGGCAUGUUUUACGAGUCAUGCCAGACUGCCCGGGAGGACCGGGAGGAAGGUGGGGAUGACGUCAAGUCAGCAUGGCCUUUAUGUCCAGGGCGACACACACGCUACAAUGGCGCGUACAGUGGGCAGCCACCUCGCGAGAGGGCGCGAAUCUCCAAAGCGCGUCGUAGUUCGGAUUGGAGUCUGCAACUCGACUCCAUGAAGGCGGAGUUGCUAGUAACCGCGCGUCAGCCAUAGUGCGGUGAAUGCGUUCCCGGGCCUUGUACACACCGCCCGUCACGUCAUGGGAGUCGGUAACACCUGAAGUCGGUUAGCCAACCAAUGGAGGCGACUGCCGAGGGUGGGACCGGUGACUGGGACGAAGUCGUACAAGGUAGCAGUACCGGAAGGUGCGGCUGGAUCACCUCCUU
Molecule: ribosomal RNA, 1497 nt
Filed under: uncultured bacterium
Lineage: Bacteria
Description: bacterial SSU rRNA
Rfam family: Bacterial small subunit ribosomal RNA
Source: RNAcentral